Non-coding RNA from Sesamum indicum (sesame), 733 nucleotides. NCBI's taxonomy places the organism in Eukaryota, Viridiplantae, Streptophyta, Magnoliopsida, Lamiales, Pedaliaceae. The record is from RefSeq and is a predicted model, not a curated record.
UCUCUCUGUAGGGUUUUGUUUUUCAUCGAUUGCACGAAAAAUUCCCCAAUUGGUCGUAUCUAUUCGAUCGAAAUGGAAAAUGGAGGCGGAGAUUUGGAGGCGAAAAUUGAGAUGUUGCUGAAUGUGGAGAAGCAGAUGAGGCAAGUGGGUGAUGUUGCAGGUACGAGGAAGGCCGUCACACCUCUUGCAAUUCUUCUUCUCACACCUCAAACAAUACCCCUCAUUUUCUCCCUCCAAGAAAGCCAAAGCCGGCGAAGGAGAGACGCCGCAGUUCCGUCCUCCCAUCGCCAAAAUACCCUCACCCAACCCCACCAUCAAACCAUUUCCCUUCUCCACUGUUCACUUCUUCGAGGAGAAAAGUUAAAGAAAGCAGGUGAAGUUCAUGGUGGUAUGGCCGACUCAAAGGUUCGAAUGUGAUGGUACGGCAGCACCCGCGCGAGAAGCAGCUGCGGAUGUGGGUACAAAUCCAAGAAAGGAAAACCCCGCUGAAUAGAGUAAAGAAAACCAAGAAAAGCAGGGGGGAGAGACAGAGCGAGGAGGAGGCCUCAAAUUAUGGUUUGGGAUUACACUGGCUUUGGAUAUACAAGGUACAAUGCCAGAGACAUUAACAAAGAAAUACUAGGGUGUCAUUGCUAAGAGGAUAUAAAUCAGACAGGAGACCUGCAAACUCGACAAUGAUGGCAAUUCUGGAUGGCUUUCAGAAGGCAUAUUCCGUUGAUUUCAGACCACUCAA